UUCCAUCUUCGGGGCAGGGUGAAAUUCCCGACCGACGGUAAAAAGCAUGAGUGCUUAAGUCCGUGACCCGCAAUUUUUUAUUGUGGUUGAUCUGGUGCAAGUCCAGAACCGACAGUUACAGUCUGGAUGGGAGAAGAUGUCG
This 142-nucleotide non-coding RNA is filed under the name Virgibacillus chiguensis. RNAcentral describes it as "FMN sequence". It matches the Rfam family "FMN riboswitch aptamer (RFN element)". Rfam says of the family: The RFN element is a highly conserved domain that is found frequently in the 5'-untranslated regions of prokaryotic mRNAs that encode for flavin mononucleotide (FMN) biosynthesis and transport proteins. This element is a metabolite-dependent riboswitch that directly binds FMN in the absence of proteins. The record is from RNAcentral. Lineage: Bacteria; Bacillati; Bacillota; Bacilli; Caryophanales; Bacillaceae.